CCCAAAAUAAAAAUCAAUUGAAAAGCACUGUUAAUGGAGAACUCUUUUUAAGUUAUACUUUAUUUUUUUUUAAUAAUAAAUAUACAAAAUACGCUCAUGACUGAAUUAUCGACAUAUGCAAAUCAAUGCCAGGAAAGAGAGUUGAUUGCUAUGAGGGUGGCAUCACAAUUAGUCCCCUUCCUCCCCAAUUCCAGCUUCAGAACUGUCGACCAAUUUUCAGCUAGCCCAAACCCGCCCUUGCCAGGCCUACAGCCAAGCCACUCAACAACACUGGAAACAUGAAUAGCCCA
RNAcentral lists this unclassified non-coding RNA (290 nucleotides) under Hevea brasiliensis (rubber tree). Lineage: Eukaryota; Viridiplantae; Streptophyta; Magnoliopsida; Malpighiales; Euphorbiaceae. The record is from RNAcentral.